RNAcentral lists this long non-coding RNA (750 nucleotides) under Rattus norvegicus (Norway rat). RNAcentral describes it as "long non-coding RNA NONRATT010074". Lineage: Eukaryota; Metazoa; Chordata; Mammalia; Rodentia; Muridae. The record is from RNAcentral.
AGAUCCCAUGGCAGAUGGUUGUGAGUCACCAUGUGGUUGCUGGGAAUUGAACUCAGGACCUCUGGAAGAGCAGUCAGUGCUCUUAACCACUGAGCCAUCUGUCCAGCCCCUCAUGGUACAUCUUUAACAUAGCAAAUGGGCAAAGAUCAAACAUAAGAUUUCAUUCUGUUCCUACUUGUUUCUUUCUUUCUUUCUUUCUCUUUUCCUGUUCCAACUUGUAUGAGAAGCAAUCUUCUGUCAGAAGAGAAGUUAAGUGUGCCUCUGACACUCCCGGAGGUCAUUUGUUGUUUUGCUUCAGUCACUGCAGGCCAGAGCACUCGGUCAUUUUCAGCAGCGAGCACUGCCUGCUGCCUUCUACACGUGGUACAGAGUCUGGCGAUGGCACCAGCAGAGACGGACCCUCCACACCAGAGCAGUGCGUUUUCACAGGUCUGCUGUGCAGCUCCGUGUGUGGAACAUACAGCUCUGAUGUAGCUCUGGUGACUUUGGAAUGCCCUGGCUUUGUGACGCUGUUUCCCAGUCCCUAGUCCCUGGUCCUCUGGGUUUUCAGUAAUGAGGGCCUUUUGAUCUCACGGAGCAGAAAAAUUAGCCACACCUUCCCCUGGGACACUUCGGCCAUCCUUUUGGCAAGUGUUUUCAGAACAGAUUGUGUUUUAUGCUCUGUUCUUCUUUCCUGAGUACAAUUUCCUGUUAGUGUUGUAAUGAGAGCUUUGAUGGAGCCUCACAUUGUGUGAUUUCCCUAAAAUGCUG